GGACUUGGCGGCGUGCCUAUACAUGCAAGUCGAGCGAACAGAUAAGGAGCUUGCUCCUUUGACGUUAGCGGCGGACGGGUGAGUAACACGUGGAUAACCUACCUAUAAGACUGGGAUAACUUCGGGAAACCGGAGCUAAUACCGGAUAACAUAUUGAACCGCAUGGUUCAAUAGUGAAAGGCGGCUUUGCUGUCACUUAUAGAUGGAUCCGCGCCGUAUUAGCUAGUUGGUAAGGUAACGGCUUACCAAGGCAACGAUACGUAGCCGACCUGAGAGGGUGAUCGGCCACACUGGAACUGAGACACGGUCCAGACUCCUACGGGAGGCAGCAGUAGGGAAUCUUCCGCAAUGGGCGAAAGCCUGACGGAGCAACGCCGCGUGAGUGAUGAAGGUCUUCGGAUCGUAAAACUCUGUUAUCAGGGAAGAACAAAUGUGUAAGUAACUGUGCACAUCUUGACGGUACCUGAUCAGAAAGCCACGGCUAACUACGUGCCAGCAGCCGCGGUAAUACGUAGGUGGCAAGCGUUAUCCGGAAUUAUUGGGCGUAAAGCGCGCGUAGGCGGUUUUUUAAGUCUGAUGUGAAAGCCCACGGCUCAACCGUGGAGGGUCAUUGGAAACUGGAAAACUUGAGUGCAGAAGAGGAAAGUGGAAUUCCAUGUGUAGCGGUGAAAUGCGCAGAGAUAUGGAGGAACACCAGUGGCGAAGGCGACUUUCUGGUCUGUAACUGACGCUGAUGUGCGAAAGCGUGGGGAUCAAACAGGAUUAGAUACCCUGGUAGUCCACGCCGUAAACGAUGAGUGCUAAGUGUUAGGGGGUUUCCGCCCCUUAGUGCUGCAGCUAACGCAUUAAGCACUCCGCCUGGGGAGUACGACCGCAAGGUUGAAACUCAAAGGAAUUGACGGGGACCCGCACAAGCGGUGGAGCAUGUGGUUUAAUUCGAAGCAACGCGAAGAACCUUACCAAAUCUUGACAUCCUUUGACCGCUCUAGAGAUAGAGUCUUCCCCUUCGGGGACAAAGUGACAGGUGGUGCAUGGUGUCGUCAGCUCGUGUCGUGAGAUGUUGGGUUAAGUCCCGCAACGAGCGCAACCCUUAAGCUUAGU
This 1101-nucleotide ribosomal RNA is filed under the name Staphylococcus warneri. Its description in RNAcentral is "bacterial SSU rRNA". It matches the Rfam family "Bacterial small subunit ribosomal RNA", at positions 31 to 1115 of the family's 1533-position model. The record is from RNAcentral. Lineage: Bacteria; Bacillati; Bacillota; Bacilli; Caryophanales; Staphylococcaceae.